RNAcentral lists this ribosomal RNA (484 nucleotides) under uncultured bacterium. Its description in RNAcentral is "partial 16S ribosomal RNA". It matches the Rfam family "Bacterial small subunit ribosomal RNA", at positions 30 to 507 of the family's 1533-position model. The record is from RNAcentral.
AUUGAACGCUGGCGGCAUGCCCUACACAAGCAAGUCGAACGGCAGCGCGGACUUCGGUCUGGCGGCGAGUGGCGAACGGAUGAGUAAUACAUCGGAACGUACCCUGUUGUGGGGGAUAACUAGUCGAAAGAUUAGCUAAUACCGCAUACGACCUGAGGGUGAAAGUGGGGGACCGCAAGGCCUCACGCAGCAGGAGCGGCCGAUGUCUGAUUAGCUAGUUGGUGGGGUAAAGGCCCACCAAGGCGACGAUCAGUAGCUAGUCUGAGAGGACGAUCAGCCACACUGGGACUGAGACACGGCCCAGACUCCUACGGGAGGCAGCAGUGGGGAAUUUUGGACAAUGGGGGCAACCCUGAUCCAGCAAUGCCGCGUGUGUGAAGAAGGCCUUCGGGUUGUAAAGCACUUUUGUCCGGAAAGAAAUCGCGCUGGUUAAUACCUGGCGUGGAUGACGGUACCGGAAGAAUAAGCACCGGCUAACUACGUG